AUCCAAAGGAACGAUUUUGAGAGAUUUUCGGACCAAUCUCAUUCUCCUUUUUAUCUUUCUCCCUCUUCUCAUUUCCUCUUUGCAGAGGAAUUUGGCAAAGGGCAUUGGUUAAAUAAUAAGACACUCUCGUUAGAGUGCUCGUCCCUCGUGCCCUUACCUGCCUAUUCCAACUAUCUGGCAAAAUCAUGUCUUCGAACCAAAAUGCCGAGUUGAAACCAAGGAUGGGCUCUUUUAAGAAGAGGAGCUCUUCUAAGAAUCUGAGGUAUUCAAUGUCCAAGAAAAGAAGAAGUAGCAAAGUGAUGUCUGUGGAGAUCAUCGAGGACGUGCAUGACGCCGAGGAGUUGAAAGCGGUUGACGCCUUUCGCCAAUCGCUUAUACUCGAUGAGCUACUCCCGGAGAAACACGAUGACUACCAUAUGAUGCUUAGAUUUUUGAAGGCCAGAAAAUUUGAUCUUGAGAAAACCAAACAGAUGUGGACUGAAAUGCUUAAAUGGAGGAAGGAGUUUGGUGCUGACACUGUCA
Molecule: non-coding RNA, 522 nt
Organism: Camelina sativa (false flax)
Lineage: Eukaryota; Viridiplantae; Streptophyta; Magnoliopsida; Brassicales; Brassicaceae
Source: RefSeq, a predicted model, not a curated record